UGGAUAUCUUUUUUAAAAGGCAUUGGGAACUUGAAAUUUAUUUCCCUCCACUAUUGAAAUUUGGGACUAAAUGUCAAAAAUUUGGAUAUAAAGGUUUAUCACUGUUAAAAUACUGCUUUGGGUUU
This is a long non-coding RNA of Perognathus longimembris pacificus (Pacific pocket mouse), 125 nucleotides long. RefSeq lists it as uncharacterized. Lineage: Eukaryota; Metazoa; Chordata; Mammalia; Rodentia; Heteromyidae. The transcript has 3 exons. The record is from RefSeq and is a predicted model, not a curated record.